RNAcentral lists this ribosomal RNA (551 nucleotides) under uncultured bacterium. RNAcentral's name for it is "partial 16S ribosomal RNA". It matches the Rfam family "Bacterial small subunit ribosomal RNA", at positions 355 to 920 of the family's 1533-position model. The record is from RNAcentral.
UGGGGAAUAUUGCACAAUGGGCGAAAGCCCGAUGCAGCAACGCCGCGUGAGUGAUGAAGGCCUUCGGGUUGUAAAGCUCUGUCUUUUGGGACGAUAAUGACGGUACCAAAGGAGGAAGCCACGGCUAACUACGUGCCAGCAGCCGCGGUAAUACGUAGGUGGCAAGCGUUGUCCGGAUUUACUGGGCGUAAAGGAUGCGUAGGCGGAUUUUUAAGUGAGAUGUGAAAUACCCGGGCUUAACUUGGGUGCUGCAUUUCAAACUGGGAAUCUAGAGUGCGGGAGAGGAGAAUGGAAUUCCUAGUGUAGCGGUGAAAGUGCGUAGAGAUUAGGAAGAACACCAGUGGCGAAGGCGAUUCUCUGGACCGUAACUGACGCUGAGGCAUGAAAGCGUGGGUAGCAAACAGGAUUAGAUACCCUGGUAGUCCACGCCGUAAACGAUGAGUACUAGGUGUAGGAGGUAUCGACCCCUUCUGUGCCGCAGUUAACACAAUCAAGUACUCCGCCUGGGAAGUACGAUCGCAAGAUUAAAACUCAAAGGAAUUGACGGGGUC